Molecule: non-coding RNA, 213 nt
Filed under: Mucinivorans hirudinis
Lineage: Bacteria; Pseudomonadati; Bacteroidota; Bacteroidia; Bacteroidales; Rikenellaceae
Source: RNAcentral
UACCUUUGUCUGCGCAACGGUUUCCCGCUUCCGCCGCCGGCGGAAAGAGGAAUUAAAAGGGAAUCGGGUGAAAAUCCCGAACAGUUCCCGCUGCUGUAAGUUCCGCAUAAUUUAGUUCCGAACAUUCACUGCCACUGGUCUUUUUUUUAGUCAGACCGGGAAGGCGUUCGGAAUGGAACGAGUCAGAAGACCUGCCUUUGCAUAUUCAUUUUC